UGGGGAAUUUUGGACAAUGGGCGAAAGCCUGAUCCAGCAAUGCCGCGUGUGUGAAGAAGGCCUUCGGGUUGUAAAGCACUUUUGUCCGGAAAGAAAUCCUCUGGGUUAAUACCUCGGGGGGAUGACGGUACCGGAAGAAUAAGCACCGGCUAACUACGUGCCAGCAGCCGCGGUAAUACGUAGGGUGCAAGCGUUAAUCGGAAUUACUGGGCGUAAAGCGUGCGCAGGCGGUUUUGUAAGACGGAUGUGAAAUCCCCGGGCUUAACCUGGGAACUGCAUUCGUGACUGCAAGGCUAGAGUAUGGCAGAGGGGGGUAGAAUUCCACGUGUAGCAGUGAAAUGCGUAGAGAUGUGGAGGAAUACCGAUGGCGAAGGCAGCCCCCUGGGCCAAUACUGACGCUCAUGCACGAAAGCGUGGGGAGCAAACAGGAUUAGAUACCCUGGUAGUCCACGCCCUAAACGAUGUCAACUAGUUGUUGGGAAUUCAUUUCCUUAGUAACGUAGCUAACGCGUGAAGUUGACCGCCUGGGGAGUACGGUCGCAAGAUUAAAACUCAAAGGAAUUGACGGGGUCAUAGCUGUUUCCU
Molecule: ribosomal RNA, 585 nt
Filed under: uncultured bacterium
Lineage: Bacteria
Description: partial 16S ribosomal RNA
Rfam family: Bacterial small subunit ribosomal RNA
Source: RNAcentral